Long non-coding RNA from Cyprinus carpio (common carp), 369 nucleotides. The record is from Ensembl. NCBI's taxonomy places the organism in Eukaryota, Metazoa, Chordata, Actinopteri, Cypriniformes, Cyprinidae.
AUAACACGAGGAGGAAUAGAGCGAACCCUGUACUUACAGUACGCUGUGUCCAGCCCAGAGCCGUUGCCUGUGGAGGAAGAGAAAGAGAGUGAGCACCCCGAGAACGAACUGUGUGAACCAGUACUUACCGUGAGCUGUAUUCAGCGAAGAGGAGGAAGAAGGAGGGCGCUACGGAUACCUAAGACUCAGGCCGGGGCCCGAGUCCCACGCCCCGGAUCCCCGUGGCCCCCUUGCUCCCUGACCUCUUCCCGGCCAUAGCCCAUCUGGAGGGCCGAGUCAGAGUUUAGUUUUAAUUGCCCUUUCCCUAUUCCCCAAGCUAUUUUUAAAUAUUUAAAUAAAGAUUGUUUUAUCACUUACUUGUUCUCGUGU